AUUGAACGCUGGCGGCAGGCCUAACACAUGCAAGUCGAGCGAGCGGCGGACGGGUGAGUAAUGUAUGGGGAUCUGCCCGAUGGAGGGGGAUAACUACUGGAAACGGUGGCUAAUACCGCAUACUAUCGGAUGAACCCAUAUGGGAUUAGCUAGUAGGUGGGGUAAGGGCUCACCUAGGCGACGAUCCCUAGCUGGUCUGAGAGGAUGAUCAGCCACGGUGGUACGGAAACGCCCAGCAGACUACUGCGGGAGGCAGCAGUGGUGAAUGUUGCACGAUGGGCAGAAGCAUGAUGCAACGACGCGGCGAGUAUGAAGAAGGCCGUAGGGUUGAAAAGUACUUUCGGCGAGGAGGCGUUACCCGAAGAAGAACCACCGGCUAACUCCGUGCCAGCCGCGGUAAUUC
RNAcentral lists this ribosomal RNA (403 nucleotides) under uncultured bacterium. RNAcentral's name for it is "partial 16S ribosomal RNA". It matches the Rfam family "Bacterial small subunit ribosomal RNA", at positions 29 to 526 of the family's 1533-position model. The record is from RNAcentral.